This 1494-nucleotide ribosomal RNA is filed under the name archaeon. RNAcentral's name for it is "bacterial SSU rRNA". It matches the Rfam family "Bacterial small subunit ribosomal RNA". The record is from RNAcentral.
UCAAACAAUGAUGAGUUUGAUCCUGGCUCAGAGUGAAUGCUCAAAGCAUGCCUAAUACAUGCAAGUCUAAAGUUUUUUUUUUUAUUAAAAAAGACUUGGCGCACUGGUGAGUAUUAAUAUGAGAAAUUAACCCACAAAUUUGGAGUAAUUAGAAUAUACAUAAACUUUUAGUUUAUGACUAUAAUUUCAUAUAAAUUAAAUUUUAUUUUGUGAAUAGGACCGUAAAGAUACUCGUUGCAGGAUAAUGAGUUGGGAUAAUCUUAAUAGUUUAAAUUUAAAAAGAUUUGUAUCAUUUGUGGACAAGCUCGUAUAGGAUUUAGAGUGUUGGUAAGGUAAUGGCUUACCAAAUCGAUUAUCCUUAACUGUCUGGGAGGAUGUACAGUCACAUUGGGUCUGAAACAGAACCCAACUAUCGAAGGGGUAGCAGCAGUAGGGAAUCUUGACAAUGUGCUAACGCACGAUCCAGCAAUGCUUUAGAGGUGAAGAAGGUUCAAGAAAUCGUAAAUCCGUUAUAAUAGAUAUGAGAUUGGAAGGUGCUAUCUUUAUCGUUACUAUUAUAGAAGCUCCGACUAACUUCGUGCCAGCAGUCGCGGUAAUACGAGGGGAGCAAGUGUUAUUCAUACUGAUUGGGCGUAAAGGGUACGUAGGUUGUUAAUUAAGUUUGAAGUUAAAAUCUGGAGCUCAACUCCUUUAAAACUUUUUGAUACUAAUUAACUUGAGUAAUAAAGAGGAUAGUCGGACUCUUAGUGUAGAGAUAAAAUUCGAUGAUAUUAAGGAUACGAACUUGCGUAGGCAACUAUCCAUUUAUUACUGACACUGAGGUACAAAAGUAUGGGGAGCAAAUAGGAUUAGAGACCCUAGUAGUCCAUACCGUGACCUAUGAGUAUUGAACUUUAAAUUAUUAUUAUAGUUUUUUGAUUCAAGCUAACGCGUAAAUACUCCGCCUGGGGACUAAGGCCGCAAGGUUAAAACUCAAAGGAAUUGACGGAGAUCAGACCAAGUAGUGGAGCAUGUGGUUUAAUCCGAUAAUCCGCGUAGAACCUUACCAAUUCUAGUUUGUAUUUAAAAAUAUAUAGUAUUAUAUUGAUUAGUUUUGUUACAAUUUAAGUUAUUGUUUCAAAAUAAAUACAGUCAGGUGUUGCAUGGCUGUCGUCAGUCCGUGUCGUGAGAUGUCGGGUUAAAUCCGAUAACGGACGCGACCCUCGAACUAAAUUUUUUUAGUUGAACGAUAAUGUAAGAUUAUAGGAAGGUGAGGACAACGACAAGUCGUUAUGCCUUUAUGAAUUGGGCUACACACGUGCUACAAUGGUACUUACAAAGAGAUGCAAAAACGCAAGUUUUAGCUAUUCUUCAAAAAGAAAUCGUAGUUCGGAUUAUUCUCUGCAAUUCGAGAAUAUGAAGCUGGAAUUACUAGUAAUCGUAUAUCAGCACGGUACGGUGAAUUCGGAACCUGGUCUUGUACACACCGCCCGUCACGCCAUGGAAGCAGGUUUU